GAUGAAGAACGCAGCGAAAUGCGAUACGUAAUGUGAAUUGCAGAAUUCAGUGAAUCAUCGAGUCUUUGAACGCACAUUGCGCCCGCUAGUAUUCUGGCGGGCAUGCCUGUUCGAGCGUCAUUUCAACCAUCAAGCCCCCGGCUUGCGUUGGAGCCCUGCGGCUGCCGCAGGCUCCCAAAUCCAGUGGCGGGCUCGUCGUCGUACCGAGUGCAGUAAACAUCCUCGCUCAGGGAACGUGACGGGUUCUUGCCGUGAAACCCCCCACAUAUCAAGGUUGACCUCGGAUCAGGUAGGAAUACCCGCUGAACUUAAGCAUAUCAAUAAGCGGAGGA
RNAcentral lists this unclassified non-coding RNA (332 nucleotides) under soil metagenome. RNAcentral's name for it is "partial contains 5.8S ribosomal RNA, internal transcribed spacer 2, and large subunit ribosomal RNA". The stretch from base 1 to 120 matches the Rfam family "5.8S ribosomal RNA", at positions 35 to 154 of the family's 154-position model. The record is from RNAcentral.